AGGGUCCUUCCCUAGCGAUGACCGACUCUCCCGGCCACCUCCACCAGCCACGCCUUCCUCUAUGGAUGUGAACAGCCGCAACAGCAACAACUGUGGCAGCAACAACAGGCAACAGCAGCAACCUCCAUGCGAUUUGCCAUGUCAGCUCGCUUUCCAUCAACUCCUGGACCUGAACUUGGCCGCCAAGCCCUAGGUUCCCCGUUGGCGGGAAUUUCCACCCGUCUGCCAGGCCCUGGUGAGCCAGUGCCUGGUCCAGCUGGUCCUGCCCAGUUCAUUGAGCUGCGGCACAAUGUACAGAAAGGACUGGGACCUGGGGGCACUCCGUUUCCUGGUCAGGGCCCACCUCAGAGACCCCGUUUUUACCCUGUAAGUGAGGACCCCCACCGACUGGCUCCUGAAGGGCUUCGGGGCCUGGCGGUAUCAGGUCUUCCCCCACAGAAACCCUCAGCCCCACCGGCCCCUGAAUUGAACAACAGUCUUCAUCCAACACCCCACACCAAGGGUCCUACCCUGCCAACUGGUUUGGAGCU
RNAcentral lists this long non-coding RNA (530 nucleotides) under Homo sapiens (human). RNAcentral's name for it is "non-protein coding lnc-PRKAG1-2:1". Lineage: Eukaryota; Metazoa; Chordata; Mammalia; Primates; Hominidae. The record is from RNAcentral.